This 268-nucleotide long non-coding RNA is filed under the name Callithrix jacchus (white-tufted-ear marmoset). RNAcentral describes it as "lncRNA (ENSCJAG00000076490.1)". The record is from RNAcentral. Lineage: Eukaryota; Metazoa; Chordata; Mammalia; Primates; Cebidae.
CUCCAGCCUGGGUAACAAAAACGAAACUCCGUCUCAAAAAAAAAAAAAGAAAAAAAAAAAGAAGAAGAAGGUGAAAGUGAUGCUUCGACACCUGUAAUUAAGCAAAUAUUUUUUUUCCCUUGUUUGUCAGAAAAUUGGGGGCCAGGAGGAUGCUGGUGAUUGCUAAGCAAAACUUCUAAUUUAUUGAAAAGGCUAUGGAGCCCAGAAAAGGAGUGCAAUGGCGUGAUCUCGGCUCAUCACAACCUCCAUUUCCCUGGUUCAAGCAAUU